AAUGGCCGAAACGCUGACGUAGCAAUGCCGCGUGGUCGAAGAAGCCCUUCGGGUUGUAAAGAGCUUUUAUCAGGGAAGAACAAAUGACGGUACCUGAAGAAUAAGGGGCUGCUAACCUCGUGCCAGCAGCAGCGGUAAUACGAGGGGCCCGAGCGUUAUCCGGAUUAAUUGGGCGUAAAGCGUCCGCAGGUUGUUAGAUAAGUCAGUCGUCAAAUGCUAGGGCUCAACCUUAGCACUGCGCCUGAAACUGUCUGACUAGAGGAAGGGAGAGGUGAGCGGAAUUGCCGGUGUAGUAGUAAAAUGCGUUAAUAUCGGCAAGAACACCAAUUGCGAAGGCAGCUCACUAGAACUAUCCUGACACUCAUGGACGAAAGCGUAGGUAGCGAAUGGGAUUAGAUACCCCAGUAGUCUACGCCGUAAACGAUGUGCACUAAGUAUUGCGGGUUUCGACCCCCGCAGUGCUGUCAACCUAAGCUAACGCCUUAAGUGCACCGCCUGGGGAGUACGAGCGCAAGCUUAAAACUCAAAGGAAUUGACGGGAGCCCGCACAAGCGGUGGAGCACGUGGUUUAAUUCGAUACUAAGCGGGAAACCUUACCGAGGCUUGACAUGUAGCUGCAAGCUCUAGGAAACUAGAGCCGCCUUCGAGGGUGCUACACAGGUGCUGCAUGGUCGUCGUCAGCUCGUGUCGUGAGAUGUAGGGUUAAGUCCUUUAACGAGCGCAACCCUCAUACUGUGUUAAAUUUAUCCACAGUAAACUGCCCGCUAUAAGCGGGAGGAAGGUGAGGAUGACGUCAGAUCAGCAUGGCUUUUACGCCUCGGGCUACACACAUGCUACAAUGGCUAGGACAAAGGGUCGCAAAAUCGCGAGAUGAAGCUAAUCCCACCAAACCUAGUCUCAGUUCGGAUUGCAGGCUGCAACUCGCCUGCAUGAAGUUGGAAUCGCUAGUAACCGUGGAUCAUCACGCCACGGUGAAUACGUUCUCGGGCUUUGUACACACCGCCCGUCACAUCAAGGGAGCCGGGGGUACCCGAAGGUCCAUCUUGUAUGGAACGAAGGUAAAUCUGGUGACAGGGAUGAAGUCGUAACAAGGCAUCCGUAGCGGAAGCUGUGGAUG
RNAcentral lists this ribosomal RNA (1117 nucleotides) under invertebrate metagenome. RNAcentral's name for it is "bacterial SSU rRNA". It matches the Rfam family "Bacterial small subunit ribosomal RNA", at positions 370 to 1520 of the family's 1533-position model. The record is from RNAcentral.